Molecule: small nuclear RNA, 103 nt
Organism: Tupaia belangeri (northern tree shrew)
Lineage: Eukaryota; Metazoa; Chordata; Mammalia; Scandentia; Tupaiidae
Source: Ensembl
GCGCUCGCUUCAAUAGCACACAUAACUAAAAUUGGAACCACACAGAGAUGCAUGGCCCCGGAGCGAGGGUGACACACAAAUUCAUGAAGCGUUUUAUAUUUUA